RNAcentral lists this transfer RNA (74 nucleotides) under Camelus dromedarius (Arabian camel). It matches the Rfam family "tRNA". From Rfam's summary of the family: Transfer RNA (tRNA) molecules are approximately 80 nucleotides in length. Their secondary structure includes four short double-helical elements and three loops (D, anti-codon, and T loops). RNAcentral also lists the same sequence under 1 other name. The record is from Rfam by way of RNAcentral. Lineage: Eukaryota; Metazoa; Chordata; Mammalia; Artiodactyla; Camelidae.
AGUAAUACAGCUCAGUGGUAGAGCGUGUAUGCUUAACGUGCAUGAGGUCCUGGGUUCAAGCCCCAGUAUCUCCA